UGAGGGAAGCCGGGUGGCGGUUGCGCUGAGAACUCCGUCAGGUCCGAAAGGAAGCAGCGGUAUUGGUUGUUACCGGGUAUCCGGUUUCCACUCAAA
RNAcentral lists this signal recognition particle RNA (96 nucleotides) under Pseudodesulfovibrio sp. JC047. Its description in RNAcentral is "Bacterial small signal recognition particle RNA". It matches the Rfam family "Bacterial small signal recognition particle RNA". Rfam says of the family: The signal recognition particle (SRP) is a universally conserved ribonucleoprotein involved in the co-translational targeting of proteins to membranes. Archaeal SRP consists of a 7S RNA and homologues of the eukaryotic SRP19 and SRP54 proteins. Lineage: Bacteria; Pseudomonadati; Thermodesulfobacteriota; Desulfovibrionia; Desulfovibrionales; Desulfovibrionaceae. The record is from Rfam by way of RNAcentral.